RNAcentral lists this transfer RNA (26 nucleotides) under Spiranthes vernalis. RNAcentral describes it as "partial tRNA-Gly". The record is from RNAcentral. Lineage: Eukaryota; Viridiplantae; Streptophyta; Magnoliopsida; Asparagales; Orchidaceae. RNAcentral also lists the same sequence under 2 other names.
GCGGAUAUGGUCAAAUGGUAAAAUUU